This 3122-nucleotide long non-coding RNA is filed under the name Sus scrofa (pig). RNAcentral describes it as "lncRNA (ENSSSCG00000058567.1)". Lineage: Eukaryota; Metazoa; Chordata; Mammalia; Artiodactyla; Suidae. The record is from RNAcentral.
AGUGCUCUCUGGAGCCUAAGGUCAGUGGCAGAUCUCUGUGGUGAGUUGACAGCAGGCACAGUUUCUCAGGCUCCUGACUUGCUGGAUUUGCACUUUGCUCGAAUCCUUGCACAGUCGCCUCCUCCCUUUUGCUCGGUUCCCAGGGACCAGCGUCCUGAGCAGGUGAGAGCCUUCACUCCUUCACUUAGCCCUUUAGUCAUGACUGCAGUGCUGAGUGCCAGCCGUGGAUUUUAGUCAUGCCAACUCCUUCUUUUCCCAGCUCCUCCCCCACCCUAGGUCACACAUCUGCUAGCAAAGUAGGUGCAGCUACACUCUCAGAGUCAGAGAAAGCCUGCAGGCUCUGACUCCCCUUUUGGGCUUCUAACCUAAACUGGGUGUGUACUUUUACACACCUGGCCAUUGAGAGGUUGGGUCCAAGUCCCUUCUGCUCAAAUCCAGGUGUGCUUGUGAUGGCUUUGAUAAGUAGUAUGGCAGAAGCGACCUUUGGUGACUCCAAAGCGAGGUCAUCAAAAGCUAUGUAGCUUCCAUCUCAUUCAAUGGAGACUUUGUUCUCUGAUCAACAGAGCCCUGCUAAGCCCAGCCUUGCAGCCGUGUCAACACAGGAGCCUGACAUGUGUGUGAAGCCAUCUCAGACCCUUCGGACCAACCCAUCUGCCAACUGAAUACCUCUAAGGAACCAUAGUUGGCGCCCUGUGGAACAGAAUUGCUCAGCCAAUCCUGGCCUGAAUUCCUGACCCACACAACUAUGAGAUAUAAUGGCUGUUGUAAUCUACCAGAUUUUGGGAUGGUUUGGCCUGUAGCAAUAGAUGACUAGAACACCACGCAUAAAUAGAAGAACCUUUGCUGGUGGCCAUUCUUUCUUUUCCUUCCUUCCUUCCUUCCUUCCUUCCUUCCUUCCUUCCUUCUUUCUUUCUUUCUUUCUUUCUUUCUUUCUUUCUUUCUUUCUUUCUUUCUUUCUUUCUUUCUUUCUUUCUUUCUUUCUUUCUUCCUUUCUUCCUUCCUUCCUUUCUUUCUUUCUUUCUUUCUUCCUUUCCUCUCCAUUCCCCUUUCCUUCCUUCCUCCCUUCCUCCCUCUUUCUUUCUAAAAUUUUAUGGCUGCACUCACAGCAUAUGCAAGUUCUUGGGCUAGGGACUGAAAUCAAGCUGCAGCUGCAACCUACGCCACAGUUGUGGCAACACCACAUCCUUUAACCUACUGUGCCAGGCCAGGGAUCAAACCUGCACCCCCUAUGGCUUUUGAUAAAGUUUGGCUGGUUUUGUGUGAUCUGCUCCUGACCAUGGUAAUUCCAUGUUGCUUGAAACUUGGAUAAAUUACCUUGUAACUGAAUCAAAACUUCACCUGGGUUCACGGACAGCUCUCUAAGCUGCAGCAAAGCUUUCAAGCUCCCUAACUCUGGUUUCAUUGUCAGUGAAUGGCCCGUUCACUCAUUCCAGCACAGCCCUGCAUGCUGCCUUAAUCCAAAAGAUUUGCAGAAAUCACUGCAAAUCGGAAGUGUGGCUGCAAAAGCCAUUUUCUGCGGAUCCAGAGAAACAAUACAGAGACAACAUUUUCUCAGCAUCUUCACCCACAGGAAAGCAUCUUCCUGUUUCCUGGCUUGCACUUGCCCUCACAUGUGGAUACAGCAUUUCCACGUGACUGUUUUUCUCCUGUUACCAGCAUUCUUGUUCUUCCUUCUCAGAGACCUCUUUUUCAGCCUGGAUUUGGGGGAAGAGUUCCCAGUUCCCUGAGUCGGGUGAGCGUGAGCGUACAGGUGAACUGUGUCCCCACGGACAUAUAUGCCCUUCUCGUGGUAUGCCAGCAGGGACUUGGAGCCAGAAGCAUGUGGAUUCAGAUUCAGACCUGAGCUCUACCACACACUGACUCGAUCUGCAACCUUAGACAAGUUACUUCAUCUCAUGCAAUCUUAUUUUUCUCAUCAGUCGAAAGGAUACAGAUUUCACCAAUUUCACAGGAAAUGUGAGGCUGUCUUAGUUUGGGUUUGGCCAGAAGCAGGUCCCGACACAAGGAUGGGAGUGCACAUGGUGUAACUGGGAGGCAGGGGAAGCAGAAGCCGAGGCAGAGGGUGUGGGCAGUGGUAUGGAGAAGGUUCAUUAUCAAGCCAGUUCGCACCGUGGGCAGCUGCAGCUUCAUCCCAACGGAGACGCUUUAGGAAAAAUGUGAAACAUAUGCCCUGAAAAUUAUUCUCCCCGAGGCAUGAGGGAGCUGGGGUAUUUAAACACUGACUCCUCUCAGUCUAUUGGCUGAAGGCUAUUCCCUAGAGGGGGUUAACUUCCCACUGAGUGCUAAAGUUCUAGCUCAGCUGGGCUGCUCUGUUCUGGAAAAAGCCCUGAGGCCCAGAGACACAGAUCCUGGAAGUUAAGCAUUUUCUGGAGCAUACUGAAAGCAUGAGGUUGGAUGGUCACAGGCAGCCCUCUGAUAGCGUCAGUGUGAAAGGGUUGACUGAGAUGUGUAAAAAGCUGGGGUACAGCAGGCACUCAACACGCACCAGCUCAUUUCUCCUCCUCCCUGUCUUCAUCUCCUUGGCCCACAGUGACCUCUGCUUUCUCUUGUCCUUACUGAAUAUCUAGGUCAUUUGACAUUUGAUAUGUACUGUUUUACCCACUGAUAGCUGGUCCCUCAGAUAAACGGUAAAUGCAUCAAGGGUCAGCUCCUUCAUUUCUUAUACUUUAUGCAUCUCCCAUAGCACCCAGCUUAGCAAGAAAUGUACGGUAGAUGCUAAGUAGGAAGUACUAGUCAGACAGCAGGGCCAAACCACCUUGGUUGAUAAUGGGAAGGGCUUGUACAGGUCUGGUGGAGUGACAUUCAUGAAAGUGAAUUGACAUAUAUAAAGUAUUGUACUAAUGUGAGGGACAAUUCGUUAUUCAGGUGAUUGUUCCUUUUUAUUUGUAGCAGCCUAGAUCAGCUGGUCAAAGAGCAAUACUAGGGAGUCCCCAUUGUGGCUCAGUGGUAACAACCAGACGAGGAUCCAUGAGGAUACGGGUAAAUCCCUGGCCUCUCUCAGUGGGUUAAGGAUCUGGUGUUGCCGUGAGCUGUGGCGUAGGUCAGAGAACUGGCGUGGAUCCUGCAUUGCUAUGGCUGUGGCGUAGGCCGGUGGCUGCAGCUCUGAUUUGACCCCUGGCCUG